RNAcentral lists this ribosomal RNA (843 nucleotides) under Triticum aestivum (bread wheat). Its description in RNAcentral is "partial small subunit ribosomal RNA". The record is from RNAcentral. Lineage: Eukaryota; Viridiplantae; Streptophyta; Magnoliopsida; Poales; Poaceae.
AUGAGACACUUCAUGACAAACUUUUACUAUGCAUGCAAGAGCAAGAAGUUUUGCAAAGACCUUACCCAUGUUUGUGUGGCAUUCAACACCAACACAUUUCAAAAAAAUGAUAUGACAAACUCUUCUUGGCAUUGGAAAAGAACAAAGGGGGGAGAGAAUUCUAGGCAUCUUCCAGAGAAGCAUAAGUGGUCGCACACUUACGACGAAGGUGGUAUGAGAUACGGAGAUAUGACAAGUAACAUGGUGGAAUGCUUCAACAACGUUCUCAAGGGUGUCCGUUCAUUGCCAGUGACUGCCAUUGUGAAAUAUACGUUCUUCAAGCUCAACGAGUAUUUCCUAAGGCAUUCCCGAGUCACCGCCAACUGGAUAGGUGAAAAUAAAGACUAUCCCUUCAAGGUUGAGGACUGGUUGAAGUAUCAAGCACACAAGUCCUCACAUCAACAAAUCAUUAGACUCAAUGAAAAAGAAAUUAUCUACCAAGUCGACGAGCCGGGUGGCACAACAAGGGACGGGGUAGCGUACGGUGGUGUUUUGUACGAGUUGCACCUCAAGAACCGGCGGUGUCAGUGCGUGAGGCCUCACAAGUACCAUUGGCCUUGCUCGCAUUUGAUGACCGCGGCUAGGGCGAGAAACUUGCGUGUUUCAGAUGAAACCACCGUGCGGCUGCAUGAGUUCACAUACGAACAAACGAGGUUGACAUGGGCGCCUCAGUUCCGUCCCUUUCUAGAUCCUUCGCAAUGGCAUGAGUAUGAUGGGCCACAUAUCGUUCCCGAUCCCAAACUCAUGGCGCCUACCAAGGGUAAAAGAAGAAGAAAGAGGUUAGAAGUGACAUGGAUGAUCUAG